UACGUAGGGGGCAAGCGUUGUCCGGAAUCAUUGGGCGUAAAGCGCGCGUAGGCGGCCCUGUAAGUCCGCUGUAAAAGUCAAAGGCUCAACCUUUGAAAGCCGGUGGAUACUGCAGGGCUAGAGUCCGGAAGAGGAGAGUGGAAUUCCUGGUGUAGCGGUGAAAUGCGCAGAUAUCAGGAAGAACACCCGUGGCUAAGGCGGCUCUCUAGUACGGUACUGACGCUGAGACGCGAAAGCGUGGGGAGCGAACAGG
Molecule: ribosomal RNA, 253 nt
Filed under: uncultured bacterium
Lineage: Bacteria
Description: partial 16S ribosomal RNA
Rfam family: Bacterial small subunit ribosomal RNA
Source: RNAcentral